Oncorhynchus tshawytscha (Chinook salmon) is the source of this 326-nucleotide long non-coding RNA. Lineage: Eukaryota; Metazoa; Chordata; Actinopteri; Salmoniformes; Salmonidae. The record is from Ensembl.
GGGGGGGGACAGUAGAGCAGUUGCGGUGGGGGGGACAGUAGAGCAGUUGAGGUGGGGAGCACCGUAGGGCAGUUGAGGUGGGGAGCACCGUAGGGCAGUUGAGGUGGGGAGCACCGUAGGGCAGUUGAGGUGGGGAGCACCGUAGGGCAGUUGAGGUGGGGAGCACCGUAGGGCAGUUGAGGUGGGGACGCACCCACAAUGUUAAUCUGCCCCGGCAUGUACCGGCCACUGGAUAGGAGGAGUGAGUGGGAACGUGCAGGCCACUGGAUAGGAGGAGGAUGGGAACGUGCAGGCCACUGGAUAGGAGGAGUGAGUGGGAACAUGCA